ACCUCGUGAUGUGGGCAUCUACGGAGUAGACCCCAAAAGCGCUCCCAAGUCUAGAAAAAGAGUUCCCCGUCCAUCUAUGAGAAACUUGAGAUAGCUCUCCGAAACU
Malania oleifera is the source of this 106-nucleotide small nucleolar RNA. The record is from RefSeq and is a predicted model, not a curated record. Lineage: Eukaryota; Viridiplantae; Streptophyta; Magnoliopsida; Santalales; Ximeniaceae.